GAUUAUUUAACUAUAAAAAGUAUAUAUUUUGAAAAUAUAAAAAAGAAAAUUAUUUUCUAGUAAUCU
Molecule: transfer RNA, 66 nt
Filed under: Ixodes barkeri
Lineage: Eukaryota; Metazoa; Arthropoda; Arachnida; Ixodida; Ixodidae
Description: tRNA-Ser
Source: RNAcentral